CGGGAAACCGGAGCUAAUACCGGAUAAUAUUUUGAACCGCAUGGUUCAAAAGUGAAAGACGGUCUUGCUGUCACUUAUAGAUGGAUCCGCGCUGCAUUAGCUAGUUGGUAAGGUAACGGCUUACCAAGGCAACGAUGCAUAGCCGACCUGAGAGGGUGAUCGGCCACACUGGAACUGAGACACGGUCCAG
This 190-nucleotide ribosomal RNA is filed under the name uncultured Staphylococcus sp. RNAcentral's name for it is "partial 16S ribosomal RNA". It matches the Rfam family "Bacterial small subunit ribosomal RNA", at positions 150 to 334 of the family's 1533-position model. The record is from RNAcentral. Lineage: Bacteria; Bacillati; Bacillota; Bacilli; Caryophanales; Staphylococcaceae.